RNAcentral lists this non-coding RNA (745 nucleotides) under Pan troglodytes (chimpanzee). Lineage: Eukaryota; Metazoa; Chordata; Mammalia; Primates; Hominidae. The record is from RNAcentral.
AUCCCACCGAGGCCACCAUAGACCAGCCAGCCCUCAGCGUACAUGCCAGCUAAUUACAGAUGCAGGAGCAAACCCCUGGCCCAUACAUCAAUUUUAAUGUCAUUGAAUACAGAGAACAAAUCUCAUUCAUUUUGGUAUCGGCUCAAGUCAACAAACAUUUAAAAAUCAUUUACUGCAUCUGAUUUUGGGUAUGUUGAAUUGGUGACGUCUGAGUUGCUUCUGGUCUAUCCUGAUAGAAACAUACAGUAAACAGAGAAAAAAAAGGGUCUCAGGUGAGAUGAUGUAUGGGAAUGCUCAGCAUACAGAAUGAAUGGAUAAGAGGCCUGAAAACAUAAUCCUGUAAACAACCAUAUUGAAAGAGAAGACAGAAGACAUCAAACAGAUGGAGUUUCGCUCUUGUUGCCCAGGCUGGAGUGCAACGGCACGAUCUCAGCUCACCGCAACCUCCACCUCCCAAGUUCAAGCAAUUCUCCUGCCUCAGCCUCCUGAGUAGCUGGAAUUACAGGAUUUUGGAAGCAUUGCCUUCUACAGAAUCCACAGUAGUCCGAAGUUCUUCUACGGUUUUUGUCAAACUUUGAUUUUCCAUCUCUAGCUUCAAUAAUCUACUUGAUGUCAACUCAUUCACCUCAUGGCCCAGGGAUUUCUGGGGUGCUAUAAUAUUGAAAAAUACACCAUUGUAUUUACUCUUUACUGUUUUUACUAUGUUUACUCUUUACUAUUUAAAAAGUUGAGUGUAUAUGCAUUG